GAGCUCCCAUGAUGUCCAUCAGUGGGGCUCUGGCCACCCUUGUGGAUAUGGUGCCUUCCCAAGACCUUUGAUGCUCUGGGGUCUGAGUGGCCA
Molecule: small nucleolar RNA, 93 nt
Organism: Erinaceus europaeus (western European hedgehog)
Lineage: Eukaryota; Metazoa; Chordata; Mammalia; Eulipotyphla; Erinaceidae
Source: Ensembl